Neofelis nebulosa (Clouded leopard) is the source of this 1917-nucleotide long non-coding RNA. RefSeq lists it as uncharacterized. Lineage: Eukaryota; Metazoa; Chordata; Mammalia; Carnivora; Felidae. The record is from RefSeq and is a predicted model, not a curated record. The transcript has 5 exons.
AGUGCUGCGAGGCGGCCAUCUUGCACUCUGCGGAGUAAGGAGCGGAGGGCUGGGCUGUUGGAGAGAAUGAUGCCAGUGCAAAGAUGGCCUGGCACCCCCUGGAUCCAGUCGCCUGCUGAGGCUAGGCUGCACUUCUGCCCAUGGGUGCCACCAGACAUCCUCAUGCAGUGUCCUGUUCAAUCUGUGUUCAGCUGCUACAUUCAACUACUUUCCCAAAGCGAAAAAGUAAAGCUACUGUAUGUAUGACUCCUGUUUCUAUGGAAAGAAGAACCUGGGUCUACUAGUUCCGUGUUCUUGAUGAAGGUGGUUCUCCUCUCUUCUUGGUCAGCCCACCUCUUCAGAAACCCAGAGAGAUUUCUGAGGAGGUUGGCAGCUUGAACCUGGAGCCUGAACCAAAGAAGCUGUCUCUUUGACCCUCUCCCCAACUCCCUCCUCUCUGCCCCAGGCCCGGGAUCCGGGCUAUCCAGGGUUCAGGGGAAAGGAGAACCUCUGGGACCCUCCCUCGGCACUGCUGAGACCUCUACGUCUCCAUGUUCUGGGAGGCAUUGGGGGUUAAUUUUCUCUGACAUUUUUUCACCCCAUUAGAUGCACCAGUUCAGCUGGAGGGUAAACAGAGAGCACUGGUCUCUUUUUGAUGUCCUGGGAGCUUGUGUGUGUUUGUUGUGUUUGUUGCCUGUCACCGACACAGAUGGUGAAAUGGGCCAGAUGUAAAGGAUGACAGCGGCCACAAGAUGCCGGGGAGCUUUGCUGGGGGUUGGAUGACCACACACUUCAUUCCACAUCUGAACCACUCUCACCCGCAAGUCAGAGUAUUAAGCAGAGAACCCCCCUGCGCCCCCAGAGAGCUGGAGACGUUUUCUGGCAGAGAAGCCCAGAGCACCGGCAAGCUGCUUCGAGAAGUUCCUCUGUGUCUUCCCAGUCUCCACCCUGGGCGAGUCUGUGGCUGAGAAGCUGGCCUGCUCCAGCUGUAGGGGAGGCAAGUUCUAAACCUCAGGUGCCCCCGUCACCCCUGCCCAGUGAUCAGAUCAGUGCUCUGUGGCUUCUCCCCCAACUAACAUCUCCCCUGACCAUGCAAGGCUGAGCAUCAGGAUCUCAUUUUUAAAUUAUACGUCACUGGGCACAAAUAUAUUCAAUAUCCAUUUGGCUUUGAAAUCUAUUUUAAUCUAGCAACUGCACUUCUGGGAAUUUAUCUUACAGAACUAUUGGAACAAGUGACCCAGAGUGUAUGUAGUGGCUAAACUCAGAAGCAACCAAUGGCUCAAAAACAGUAUGCUUUUUAGGAAAACAAAACUACGAAAGGAAAUGCACUUGAUACUGUGUUUGAACUGGUCUGACAAGCCCUCCUGAUAAGACGCACAGCCCAAGGAAGGCCUGGAUACCAUGGAAAAAAUGGUCACUGUCAGGACUUCCUGUCCUGAUCCCACUCCAGCUCGAUCCUACUCUCAUUUCCUUCUGAAGGGGAGCCAUGGGACCUCUUUGUUCCCCACUGUUGAGGGAAGCUAACCUCUUCCCUGAGCUUGCCAUGAAGGUGAUUCACCCCAUCCUUCACUCAGGCCAGGGAGAAGAAAAAGAUAACAGUUUUUGGCAAUUCGGCCUGUUAGAAAAGGGGGUCUAGGGCUCACCCCUCUUCCAGUCAACUGCAGGCCAAGGAUGGAUGCAUCAAAGAGAAGCCAAAGACAAAGCAAUUCUGGACUGCAGCUGGCAAAGGGCUUAACUCUGGGCAAGCUGGGAGUCGACAAGAUACAUUUUUGCCCAGAUCAGACAAUGAUCUUGACACAAGGGUAAAAGAUGGUGUGACUCUGGCUUCCCAACAGAUUCUGUCUUUGGACAUCAAAUGUAGAAAACUGAGCUACUCACUCACCUCGGUUCCAGACACUGACUUUUCUCCUAUAAUUAAAGGGGUACAUGUGUCUGUCA